UGGGGAAUUUUGGACAAUGGGCGAAAGCCUGAUCCAGCAAUGCCGCGUGUGUGAAGAAGGCCUUCGGGUUGUAAAGCACUUUUGUCCGGAAAGAAAUCCUUGGCUCUAAUACAGUCGGGGGAUGACGGUACCGGAAGAAUAAGCACCGGCUAACUACGUGCCAGCAGCCGCGGUAAUACGUAGGGUGCAAGCGUUAAUCGGAAUUACUGGGCGUAAAGCGUGCGCAGGCGGUUUGCUAAGACCGAUGUGAAAUCCCCGGGCUCAACCUGGGAACUGCAUUGGUGACUGGCAGGCUAGAGUAUGGCAGAGGGGGGUAGAAUUCCACGUGUAGCAGUGAAAUGCGUAGAGAUGUGGAGGAAUACCGAUGGCGAAGGCAGCCCCCUGGGCCAAUACUGACGCUCAUGCACGAAAGCGUGGGGAGCAAACAGGAUUAGAUACCCUGGUAGUCCAUGCCCUAAACGAUGUCAACUAGUUGUUGGGGGAUUCAUUUCCUUAGUAACGUAGCUAACGCGUGAAGUUGACCGCCUGGGGAGUACGGUCGCAAGAUUAAAACUCAAA
This 558-nucleotide ribosomal RNA is filed under the name uncultured bacterium. RNAcentral describes it as "partial 16S ribosomal RNA". It matches the Rfam family "Bacterial small subunit ribosomal RNA", at positions 355 to 905 of the family's 1533-position model. The record is from RNAcentral.